CAACAACAGGAAUUAGUGCACUUUGUCGCUCAGCUUAUGGGCUCCACACCAGCCCAGAUGGUGGUGGUGGGGGGAUGGAGGGGGGGGGGGUGGGGGGGGGCAGUGACGAGCACUUGCUGCUCUUUGUCUGGCAUUUGAUCUCGCCGGUAGUUCGUGACUGAAAAGGAGGUUGUAGUGAAGCGAUGGCGAGUGUCUGAUCGAUUCAAAUUUGGUGUGAUGCAUUUGAUUUUUGAUUUUUUUUUUCAAGCGGCCUUAAAAUGAGUCGGUGUGUUUUGUGAACAACAACGUUUUUAGCCGUAUUGUAGGUGUAUUGCUGCGUGGAAAUAACUUUCAUCACAAACAACUUUUCAUCUCGCGGUCUGGCCACUACAGAAAGUCCAGAAUGUGCCGGAGAACAUUGUGAUCCAUUGACGGUCCAGAAAAUAAAGAACUGAAGCCCAAGCUGACGUCUUCAAAUGUUUUUAUUUUGACCGACGUGAGGAGAUCGUGUAUCCCUUGAGACCGCGUAGAAGCAUCUAAUGCCUGCAGCCGAGUCGCAGCCGCUUGGUUUAUUGAUUACGGGCCUUUAAAGCAAAACGCCAAACAGUCGCCGAUUAUUUGAAGAAUGACUGACCGGUUAAUCGACUAAUCCUCAAUUUGCAAAGCAACCACGGCUGUCAGAUAACACUAGUGGGGGCAAUGAAGAUGAAAAAAAAAAAUGUGGUGAGGUAAAAGUUUGAGGUUGCACAAAAUGAAAAUACAGCUGCUGAGUGGUACUUUUUGUUUCUCUCCACUUGAGAGGCGGCCUGUGUUUUUAAAGCCUUUAAAUCGAGACAGCGAACAGUUAGACGAGCAAGGGGAGGGGGUGUGUGAGGGGGUGAGGGUUUGCUCUCACCCAGCAUUUGCUACGCCGGUACCGGCACACAGACGAGUGUUUGUGCGAGUAAGAGGGUUAAGGAUCCUUUUUAAAGCAGUUUAUUUACUGAGGAUACAUCAUCCUCUCUCUCUCUGUCUCGCUCUCUCUCUCUCUGUCUCUCUCUCUCUCUCUCUCUGUCUCUCUCUAAUGUCUCUCCGCGCAGGGACGAGACUACUGUUCGGGGGAGGAGGAGGACGAAGACGGGACAUAGCACAGAGGCCCCCCGAGAUUCACCCUCACAGAGGGCCUCACAACGAGCGUGUGUGUGCGUGUGCGUGUGUGUUUUUGAACGUACGGCAAAGAUAGUAUUUUAAUCGAAAGAAGUGGGGACGAGUGAGAGAGAGAGAGAGAGAGAGAGAGAGAGAAAAUGGGAUGAAGAGCACUUUUCUUCGGAGGCCACAGCCCUCCUCAUCCCUUCAGGCCCCCCCCGAGCGGACAGAUGGAGGUGGCGAAGCGAUGAAGGCGCAGACGGAUGAAAGGAGGGAGGGAUGGAUGGCAGAGGACGUGACGAGAAGGAGACCGUCGGCUCCGCGUCCCUCCAUCUGUCCCUCCGCGUCCAUCCGGCUGUACCUGCCUGAAUAUUUUAACCCGUGCAACAGGACGUUGGGACUCCUGAACGUGGAGCUCCUGGUAUGGACAAAUGUCCCCGGCGCUGGGGGCCCGGGACUCACGGAAGGAGGCCCCUGGGGAGACAAAGGUGGUGAAAGCGGAGGAGUCGCGUAACACCGCCAGGAACUUUUUGGCCCGUCCACCGACAGCCGGGUCACCUGGGCCACGGGGGGACUGAGCGAAUGGGUGCGGGCGGAAAAAGAGUGGAAAAAAGUGUGAUAUUUUAAUAAGAGAGAGUAAGGGGCACGCCAGUGAUUUAGAAACUCUAAACUACUCUGCCUUCUGAUGUCAAGGACCUUUUAUUUUUAUUGUUUUUCGCAGCUCCGUGUACGGCCCCCUUUUUUUUUCUUUUUCUUUUCUUCAGUUUGUUUUCCUCUUGCCUUCCUUUUGUAGUUCAUCAGCAUCAUCCUCGUCAUCCUCCUCACCACAGCAGGCAGACUGAAGCUAAUUCAGAUCAUUCGUGUCUCGACCCAAUCCCCCCCCCCCCCCCGUUCAUAUGUACCGUAACACUGCGGAUCAAAGCCGACACACACGUACAUACAUGGAGACUUUUAUUGUUCACAUCGCACACUGUCAUUGCAACACACCUCAGCAAGUACAGAUAAACCCGACAACCGCACACAAACGCACACACACACACACCCCUUUCAUUUCACCAGCAAAUGGCAAUCUGCAUCAUAAAGCUCUAGUUCUGCUUUGAUUCAGUGUUCUCUCUCACACACACACACACACAGACACACACGCACACAUGAGAAAAAAACGGGACUGAGCUCACUUUUUUCUUUUUUUUGUUGGGUCAUCUCUACCAGAUACUUCCUGUUUUAUUUUGGAUACUUUCUUUUUUUCUAUUAAAAAUAAAAUCAAAGAAGCUCUUACUUUGUGUGGCAUUGUGUGAGUACUUGUGCGUGGCCAGAAUGCUGGGUCAAGGUGUGUGUGUGUGUGUGUGUGUGUGUGUUUUCCUGUG
Gasterosteus aculeatus aculeatus (three-spined stickleback) is the source of this 2468-nucleotide long non-coding RNA. The record is from Ensembl. Lineage: Eukaryota; Metazoa; Chordata; Actinopteri; Perciformes; Gasterosteidae.